Long non-coding RNA from Anolis sagrei ordinatus, 998 nucleotides. RefSeq lists it as uncharacterized. Lineage: Eukaryota; Metazoa; Chordata; Lepidosauria; Squamata; Anolidae. The record is from RefSeq and is a predicted model, not a curated record.
AGGAAGGGGCGGAGGAGGGGGCGCAGACAGGUGGGCUGGCCCCGGCCUCGUUCGGAGAAAGCCAAGGGAAAGGAAGAUGAGGGGGGGAGGGGGGGUGUGGAGAGGCGAGAGAGGAGCAGCCUGUCAGGUGACUGGCUGUGUGUGGGGACCGGGGGCGAGUAUUUGUGUCUCCUCAGUCAGGUUCCGCGAGGCGAGGGAGACUCACUCGGGCAUGUGAUAAAAAGGAAGAAGAGAAGGGAGGCAGGAAGGAAGGAAGGAAGGAAGGAAGGAAGGAAGGAAGGAAGGAAGGAAGGAAGGAAGGAAGGAAGGAAGGAAGGAAGGAAGGGCACCCGGAGAGGCAGGACUUUGUGUGUGAAGCCAGAGGAGAGGGGAAGCGUGGCGGAUUGUGGAAGGACCCCUUUUCCUCCCUUGCUUCCUUCCCUCCCUGCCUCCCUCCCUCCCUCCUUUGGAAUCCCAAGCGGCGAAGGAGCGGCACCAGCCGCAGUGCGAGGCUCUUUGGAGGGGAGGCGAGGGAAGCAAAGAAGGAAGGAAGGAAGGAAGGAAGCCCACCGAGCUGCAAAGACGAGCCGCCGCCGCCGCCGUUUCAUCCUGCGGCACCGACACAUACACACACAGACUGAGGAAGCAGCAGCGGCGGCGGGAGGGCGCGGAGGAGCCCAUGUGCGCAGAUGGCAGUAUGGAAACCAAAUACAUACACUGGCAGAAGUUAUUUUUGCUCUGUAUGAGAAAAUGAAGAGAGUGCACAUGACUAGGCUUGGGAACUUGAGAAACCACAGGGAUAAUACUUUACUCUGGAAGACGGCUAUGAUGGGGAAAACCCUUUCAUCUGACAAAAGCGUUUUGCCAUACAACUAAUCAAAGGAUUUUCUUUAGUUAAAGGAAGUUGUAAAACUGAUCACCGGGAAGUAUGAGUUACUUGGAAUGGGUUGCAUUUGACAUAACAGGGAAGAGUCUCUUGAUCCAGAAAAUGUAGCUGCUCCUCAGUCGCUCAGUAGUCA